GGCAAUUACUGAGCCAUAUUUUCAGGCCUAUUUUGUAUUUUAUUUAGAGACAGGGUCUCACUGAGUUGCUUAGCGCCUUGCCAUUGCUGAGGCUGGUUUUGAACUCAAGAUCCUGUCUCAGCCUCCAGAGCCACUGGGAUUACACCCAGCAGAAUUUUAGGAUCUUGUGAUUCCCACAUUUCUAGAAUAUGUAGUGCAUUGACACAUUAUUACCAGCUAGUUUCAUUGUUAAAUGAUACCAGUUCAUCACUGGUGAAAGUUCCCUUUGGGAACUGCUGUGUUAUGCAAGGAGUAUCUGUGCUGCAUCCCUCACCAGUGCUGAAAUCUUUAGAGCCAGCCAGGUGGGUGAGCCAGCUUCAAAAUCCCAUCUUAAUACUUGCUCUCUUAGGCCUCCCAAGUACAAACUGUCCCAAGUUGGACAGUCCUGGAGGCAGUCUUUGAGAUGUAGAUUAACCUGCAGAGACACCUUUGGAGUCACCACCUAGGAAACAGGAAAGGGAGGGAGGAGGGCAGGAUGUAGGAUGGGAGGAGAGGAAAGAAGAAUGAGGACUGGAAUGUAAGAAUGAGAACAGAAGGGAAGAAGCAAGAUUUGGGGGGGUAGGGAGACCAUGGGCUACAUACAGCCCACACUUAAGCCAAUCCCACAGAGAGCUAUAGAGCUAAAAUGGCACUUUGA
Molecule: long non-coding RNA, 676 nt
Filed under: Marmota monax (woodchuck)
Lineage: Eukaryota; Metazoa; Chordata; Mammalia; Rodentia; Sciuridae
Source: RNAcentral